GCGAGGAUGGCCCAGCCCGGUAAGGCGAUGGAUUGCUAAUCCAUUGUCCGUAAGGACUCGGGGGUUCAAAUCCCCCUCCUCGCG
This 84-nucleotide transfer RNA is filed under the name Thermoplasmata archaeon. RNAcentral describes it as "tRNA-Ser". It matches the Rfam family "tRNA". Rfam says of the family: Transfer RNA (tRNA) molecules are approximately 80 nucleotides in length. Lineage: Archaea; Methanobacteriati; Thermoplasmatota; Thermoplasmata. The record is from RNAcentral. RNAcentral also lists the same sequence under 5 other names.